Molecule: ribosomal RNA, 493 nt
Filed under: uncultured bacterium
Lineage: Bacteria
Description: partial 16S ribosomal RNA
Rfam family: Bacterial small subunit ribosomal RNA
Source: RNAcentral
AGUGAACGCUGGCGGUAGGCCUAACACAUGCAAGUCGAACGGCAGCACAGUAAGAGCUUGCUCUUACGGGUGGCGAGUGGCGGACGGGUGAGGAAUACAUCGGAAUCUACUUUUUCGUGGGGGAUAACGUAGGGAAACUUACGCUAAUACCGCAUACGACCUACGGGCGAAAGCAGGGGAUCUUCGGACCUUGCGCGAUUGAAUGAGCCGAUGUCGGAUUAGCUAGUUGGCGGGGUAAAGGCCCACCAAGGCGACGAUCCGUAGCUGGUCUGAGAGGAUGAUCAGCCACACUGGAACUGAGACACGGUCCAGACUCCUACGGGAGGCAGCAGUGGGGAAUAUUGGACAAUGGGCGCAAGCCUGAUCCAGCCAUACCGCGUGGGUGAAGAAGGCCUUCGGGUUGUAAAGCCCUUUUGUUGGGAAAGAAAAGCAGCAGGUUAAUACCCCGCUGUUCUGACGGUACCCAAAGAAUAAGCACCGGCUAACUUCGUGC